This is a non-coding RNA of Pelobates cultripes (western spadefoot toad), 272 nucleotides long. Lineage: Eukaryota; Metazoa; Chordata; Amphibia; Anura; Pelobatidae. The record is from the annotation of a GenBank genome assembly.
CACAGACGUGCUUUGAAUUCUUCAUUCCCUCUCCCUAGACCCUCUGCUUGGCCCUGAUCUCAUUCUUACACUUCAUUUGCUUUUUUUACUCACGUUUGUUAGAGACAAAUUCUUCUCCGUACACAGAAUCGAACUAUGCACUCACCGUAACCACGAUUCCACGCACAAUACCAGGUUUAAUUCUGUAUUAUGCUUGUUUUUUGAUGUCUGUGUCACUAUUAUCAAACCAUGUAUUUAAUAAAACAGCCCUUUCCAUCCACAGCUACAGGAAC